Molecule: long non-coding RNA, 3659 nt
Organism: Neoarius graeffei (lesser salmon catfish)
Lineage: Eukaryota; Metazoa; Chordata; Actinopteri; Siluriformes; Ariidae
Exons: 2
Source: RefSeq, a predicted model, not a curated record
AAUAAUCACACUCUCAUGCUGCAUGAAAUUAAAGUAUGAACUUUCCUUAACCCAUUACGUGUGCAUGAACUCAACAAAUGCAGUCCAUGCGUCUGUAUCGAUUCGCUCGAUCGAGUCAUUUUAUGUUUCGUCCCGAAGAAGAUCCAAAUCGUUUGUGAAUCUCAUCACUGUUAGAAAUCCAAGAGAAGAGAUCCUCUUCCCUUAACAUCAUCAGAGGAAAAAUCUGCUUCUUAAUCAAUUAGUUUCAGCGUUUGGACUCUGUGGUCUGUGUGUUCUGGUAUCUGCUGAGUCACCAGAAAUCUGCCAAGACACUGACACUUGCGCCUGCUCCAACAUCUGGCGCAUAAGGGCUUUAAGGUUUCCAGAACCAAGCUGCAAUAUUGCAUGGACACUUAAGUAUUUGAACUUUUGAACUUUCUCAAGCUGUCAUUCUAGCACUGAUGUCUUUUCUGGGUCAGAAAAUGGAUCCCUGACUGCUCUUUCUCCGUUCUGCAAUCUCUCAUCAUGAUCCACUGCAACAUCCUUUGACCUGGACUGACGCUAUGGUGGUCGCUUAUCACUCCCUCAGAAACACCCUUUGUUCCGCCCCUGGGUCACCUGCUCACUUCAAGCCCUUCCACCUCUAUGCCUGUGAACACCGGGGCACAGCCUCUGGGGAGCAUGAGGGGGGGAAAUGCAUCAUUGUGCGUUUUUAUCCAAAACAUUAGACAUUGUUGCUCAAGGCUUACCUGCGUGUCUAGGGGCUGUCUCCGCAUGUGCUUUGAUGGUUUUAGAUGCGGAAAAAUUGGUUUUGUCUUACCCACUGAUCUUGCACUCGUCACAUCAAGUUAAACAGGUGUUGCAAAAUUUACAGACCCAUUAAAUUAAUUUAAUAGAUAAUUAAAUUAACAUAUGACUAUUUAUUCUCUGUUCUACUAACAAUCUCGAAAUUUGUGUCACAUCCUCUUUUGAUAAUGUAGGUCGCGCUCUCGCACGUCUCCUUAAUUCUCGGGAUGAUACUUGGGAUGACAUUGAUAUUGUCUGUCUAAAAAUCGUACAUACUACUAGUAUCAGGUCUGAUCUCUCCUCCAGCCCUCUAGGGAUGGGGGAAGUACUCUUUGUUUUGAUGGUUCUUGUUCUAUAAUUUAUGAUAUUUAUCAUACCUCCGUGGUUAUUCUGUGUUCAAUCAAUAUCAGCCUGAUAUUCUGCAUGAGACAUACGCUCUUUCUUUCUCAUUUGAUUUUUGUCAUCUUGAUUGUGGACAAAUUCUCUAAAUGGGUAGAAGUUUUUCCCUGUUCUCGAGAGAACACGAAGGUAGUUCACUCGUACUCUGGCAAAAGAAAUAAUACCUAGUUAUAAUAAUAAUAAUGAUACAUUUUAUUUAUAAGUGCCUUUCAAGGUACCUAAGGACACUGGACAGUAAAAAAAAAGAAAACAAACAAUAAAAGCAGAACAAUAAAAUAACAAAAUAAUAAGAAAUCAAUAAUAAAUAUUGCUAUAGUUAUGGGGUUUCAAAUGCCAUAGACUCAGACAAGGGUACCCGUUUUACCUCAAAAGUCACACAAAACCUUUGUAAGUAUCUCUAAACUAAACUGGUGUUUUCACAUUCCUCAAUCCUCUGGUAUCGUAGAACGUACUAAUCGAAUAUUGAAAGACAAAUUAAUUAAGGUCAUGCAGGACACAGGUUUGGUUCUGUAAUCCAUAAUUCAUUCUGGCUGAAAUUCGUGUGACACCAAAAAAUUAUUUUUGGAAAUAAAGUUCUCCCCUGGAAGAAGGGAACUCUGGCUCUGGGUACCUCUGAUUUGAAAAUGCAUAUGGAUGAGUAUUCUGCAGCCCUUAUAGAUAGGUUGCAUAAAAUUUGUGCCAAGGUCAAUAAUACAAUAUUAUCUCCACCACACACCCCUUUCACGUGGGAGACAAGUGCUGGUGUGAUUUUUUUUAAAGUAAUGAUUUGGACAAUUGGGAAAACAAUAUAAUGGGCCUGCAGACAUAGUCGUCAUUACUUUUGCUGCUGUUUUAACUGAUCUUUUUCCACAGUGGAUCCAUGCCACUCGAUUGAAGAAGGCUCCAUAACAAAGUUGUGUUACAAUGACAAGUUUGCUGCUAUUAACGUUUUUUUGCAUCCCUAUCUAGUCUCCCUCUGUCCAGUUUUCUCUCUCUCUGUCUCUCUAUUUCUGAGCUCUACACAGAUUUGAUUGAGAAUCCUCAAGACGUUGUGAACAAAGAGGGGAAGAGAUCUUGCGCCCCGUUUGGAACCAAUCAUCCUCACUACAACCAUGACAGUCCUCAUCACGGGUUUCGUGACUUCAUUGUUGCUCGGGGCAGGGCUACCCGCCCGAGCCUUCGUGACUGCUACAUCUUCGCUCGGGGCAGGGUUACCCGCCCGAGCCUUCUGGACCACUUCAUUGCUCGGAGCAGGGUUACCCGCUCGAGCUGGACUUCAUUGCUCGGAGCAGGGUUACCCGCUCGAGCUGGACUUCGAGACAACAUCUUCUGGACUAACUUCGCUAACUGGACUGCACAAGCGCACACCACACGAAUGUGUUAUGUCUUUCAUCUGAUGCCGUUUUCUACUGUUAUUACACAUCUCCAUGCUCUGAAACUCUGUAUUCUUACAGGACUCUGUUCUCACUAUAGGUCGAUAUGCCUUCUAAUUUCAUUUUUCCUCACUGUUUUAGAACAAAUUACUCUGAAGGAAGUAGCGUGUAUUUGGGAAUUAAGAGGUUUUAAGUUUCUCUAAGCUCCGGUGAGGUGGGACGAGGGCUGAUCGGGCAUGCCCGCCCUCUGAGCACCAAUAUACGUCAAGAAGGGCAAAGAUUAACUCAAGAUUAAUUCUCGAUGUAAUCACAUAUAUGAUCAUGAGGUGAUAAUAUAUGGUCCUAGGAUUUGAUAAUAGUGAUACUAUUAUCAAAGGGGGGAUUGUUAGGUUUAUAUAAGUAUUAUUCUUGACCAAGAAGGCAGUAAUUUAUUAAAAUGGUGACAAAAUUAAGGAUAAACUUAAGGUUCAGUUAAAAAUGACCUUCUGUCUCGGCUGGACAUUGUUUGGGAACAUUUUGUUUAUGAAAUGUGUAUUUUUGAUCAGAGAUGUGUCUGAAUGACACCAAGGUCUGUUUUGAUGUCAGAUCGACCUACACACACUUUAAUGUUGGAUGUAAUGGUAGCCUUAUUGCUGAACAAAGAGUUAAGACUUUAUAUUUUAAGAUCCUUUAUUAUUUUGGACUAUUGCAUAUACUGUGGCAGUGAUUUUAAACUGUUCCUGUGUAGCCUGACCUUCGGAGAACAACACUUCUUUGUUAGACCAAACAUAGUCUUUGUUUAAAACAUUGUCGUAAAAACAUCUCGCGCGCUUUGACGUGCGUAAAUGAAAUUGCUGAAUUGCUGAAAUAUUAUUUUGCUUAUGAUUGAAGGUUUCAUUCACACACACACACACACACACACACAUACAUAUGGAAUUAAGAUGUGAUUUGCUGACCUAGCACAUAGACACAGAUAUCAAAAUGAUGUCACUCACUCACACCCUCCCAUAGACACACACACACACCCCUCUCUGAGGUCACAUACAAACACACACACACAUUUGACAGACACAAUAGCCGUUUGGAGAGAUGAUUUGUUAUAAAAGGUGUUUGUAAUCUUUCAUCUUUGGCGAGAAUACUGUGAAUAAACAGUAGUUAAACCGA